GUAUCCAUGGUAUGGGCAUUAUAGUAAAAGUGAUUUGAAGCGAUCCCAUGCUCCAUUAAAGGAUUCAGUAUCCUUUUGAUAAAAGUUGAAAAUUUCAGCCCUUAAUUC
RNAcentral lists this small nucleolar RNA (108 nucleotides) under Ricinus communis (castor bean). Its description in RNAcentral is "Plant small nucleolar RNA R71". It matches the Rfam family "Plant small nucleolar RNA R71". Rfam says of the family: R71 is a member of the C/D box family of snoRNAs containing the C (UGAUGA) and D (CUGA) box motifs. The record is from Rfam by way of RNAcentral. Lineage: Eukaryota; Viridiplantae; Streptophyta; Magnoliopsida; Malpighiales; Euphorbiaceae.